GUUUCUUAAUGUUGGUUUGCUCUUAUCGUGCAUGUAGAUAUGAACAAGAGCAGUUUGACAAGCAAGUUCUCCUUAUUCUAAUUAGAUAAACUCCACCUGAUAUAUUGGCAUCUUCUUCCCUCUUAUUUUGACUGCCGUUUGACACUUAUCCUCUUUCAGUUUAACAGGUGAUGGAACAGAGAAAACAGCAUCUUCAUCAAAGGUGGUUCAUGCCCAGAAAAUUGAACAACCGUUUCUAGCUAAAUGAAUAUGUUAUCACUGCACACCCUCAGAUAAAAUUGAGUUUCUCUGCACAGCCAAAAAGACUGGUGUUCAGCCAUAUAACGUUUGGUGUUAUAUUGGAUGCUCCAAAUGUUCAAAGAAACUACUGUGCGAGAUAUCUUCAUUCACAUGUAUGUUUUGUGAAAAGACCGAUGCUGAGGGUUGUCUGAGGUACCGUGUGGAACUGUCGUUGUCAUACCACGCAAAUAUUGUAUCAGGUCAAGUAACAGCUAGGGACAGCGCUCCAGUUUUUAAAAAUAACGGCCAAAUCAACUGACUGGAGACAAAUCUUAAAAGGACAGCAACAUUGCUAGGAAUAGCUAUCAAAAAGGUCGACACAAAAUACAUAGAUUGCUUUGUUUUUGAAUUAAUAUCUAAAGAGAAAGAGGUUCAUCCUCCCACGUUUCUUAAAACAACAAGAACAAAUUCGUUUAGUACACAUCUUGGUUCAUAGAGUCAAAGCUUUGGUACAUGAAUUUC
Long non-coding RNA from Brassica oleracea var. oleracea, 741 nucleotides. RefSeq lists it as uncharacterized. Lineage: Eukaryota; Viridiplantae; Streptophyta; Magnoliopsida; Brassicales; Brassicaceae. The transcript is spliced from 4 exons. The record is from RefSeq and is a predicted model, not a curated record.